This 274-nucleotide ribosomal RNA is filed under the name uncultured bacterium. Its description in RNAcentral is "partial 16S ribosomal RNA". It matches the Rfam family "Bacterial small subunit ribosomal RNA", at positions 642 to 916 of the family's 1533-position model. The record is from RNAcentral.
GAGUCGGGAGAGGGAUGCGGAAUUCCAGGUGUAGCGGUGAAAUGCGUAGAUAUCUGGAGGAACACCGGUGGCGAAGGCGGCAUCCUGGACCAAUUCUGACGCUGAGUGAGCGAAAGCCAGGGGAGCAAACGGGAUUAGAUACCCCGGUAGUCCUGGCCCUAAACGAUGAAUGCUUGGUGUGGCGGGUAUCGAUCCCUGCCGUGCCGAAGCUAACGCAUUAAGCAUUCCGCCUGGGGAGUACGGUCGCAAGGCUGAAACUCAAAUGAAUUGACGG